GUCUUGGUGGCUCAGUUGGUCAGAGCGUUGGUCUCAUAGCAAUAUGAAGUACUCUCAGAGUGAGCCAUCCAAAGGUCGUGAGUUCGAGCCUCACCCAGGACA
RNAcentral lists this transfer RNA (102 nucleotides) under Xylaria cubensis. Its description in RNAcentral is "tRNA-Met". It matches the Rfam family "tRNA". From Rfam's summary of the family: Transfer RNA (tRNA) molecules are approximately 80 nucleotides in length. Their secondary structure includes four short double-helical elements and three loops (D, anti-codon, and T loops). The record is from RNAcentral. Lineage: Eukaryota; Fungi; Ascomycota; Sordariomycetes; Xylariales; Xylariaceae.